UACGAAGGGGGCUAGCGUUGUUCGGAUUUACUGGGCGUAAAGCGCACGUAGGCGGAUCGUUAAGUCGGGGGUGAAAUCCUGGAGCUCAACUCCAGAACUGCCUUCGAUACUGGCGAUCUUGAGUCCGGAAGAGGUGAGUGGAACUCCUAGUGUAGAGGUGGAAUUCGUAGAUAUUAGGAAGAACACCAGUGGCGAAGGCGGCCGACUGGUCCGGUUCUGACGCUGAGGCGCGAAAGCGUGGGGAGCAAACAGG
RNAcentral lists this ribosomal RNA (253 nucleotides) under uncultured bacterium. RNAcentral's name for it is "partial 16S ribosomal RNA". It matches the Rfam family "Bacterial small subunit ribosomal RNA", at positions 524 to 776 of the family's 1533-position model. The record is from RNAcentral.